Long non-coding RNA from Gallus gallus (chicken), 891 nucleotides. RefSeq lists it as uncharacterized. Lineage: Eukaryota; Metazoa; Chordata; Aves; Galliformes; Phasianidae. The transcript has 3 exons. The record is from RefSeq and is a predicted model, not a curated record.
CAGCUGCACCCUCAGGUGCCGAGGAGCAGUCUCGUGCCAAUCUGGUGAUGGCACUGGUGAGGGGCUUUGUGGCUGCACUCGUCUUUGGCCUCGGAGUCUUCUUUGUCAUCGAUGCCCGCAGCCUCUGGAUACGGAGAGAUGACAACUGUGUCUCGCUGUCCCCAGGCUGCUCCUGCCUCAUGGCACCAAUGGCAGUGGCUCUGUGAGAGGUAGAUUGUGUUUUUGCAGUGGAAAUUUACAGUAUUUCUGUAUGUAGCCCAGGAUAAGUUGCCUUUCCCAAAGAAAGUUGCUGAACAGAGUAAAGUUGAGAGUGGGGAGUUACGACCUAGGUAGAAUUGGCACAGGCACUAGGGUAAAGGUGAGAGUCAAAACGAGUGACAGUAUUGUCCUCGUAUCGCUAUAAAAAGUCCAGAACAUACCCAAAGACAAUGGGUUGGUAGCAGACUUGGUAUGGAAUUGUAACAGAGGUAUGGAAGUGUAACGGAGCUCUGGAAGUGUAACAUAGCAACAGCGUCAGAAGACUGUGAGCCUGAGAUGCUCAACCAAUGAGUGCCAGGAGAGGCUUUACCUGCGUCGGACCCAGGGUGCAUAACAGAAUGGAUUUCACCUACUGUUUGCAUAAUAUCUCCCUGAUCAGUAGGGGGCAUGCGCCCAUUACUGCAAUAAGGAACAAACUGCUCUUCAAAGAGACCUUGGCCUGACUAGAAACUGUUGAUCUUGAGCGUGUUUCUCACACCCUUUCCCCUUUUUGAUGCAGGUGAACCCCUCAAGAGUGCAAAGGCCAAUGAGGCCUGCGUGAUAUGACCUCAAAUCCCAAGCCGCCCCUUCACCCCUUGUCACGGAGUUAUCUAGAUUGAUCUGUGCCCGUCACAGGGAGGCAGUAGGCUCACG